UAAGCGGAGGAAAAGAAACUAACAAGGAUUCCCCUAGUAACUGCGAGUGAAGCGGGAAGAGCUCAAAUUUGAAAUCUGGCGGUUCUGCCGUCCGAGUUGUAAUCUGGAGAAGCGUUUUCCGUGCCGGACCGUGUACAAGUCCCUUGGAACAGGGCGUCAUAGAGGGUGAGAAUCCCGUCUUUGACACGGACUCCCGGUGCUCUGCGAUGCGCUCUCGAAGAGUCGAGUUGUUUGGGAAUGCAGCUCAAAAUGGGUGGUAAAUUCCAUCUAAAGCUAAAUAUUGGCGAGAGACCGAUAGCGAACAAGUACCGUGAGGGAAAGAUGAAAAGCACUUUGGAAAGAGAGUAAAACAGUACGUGAAAUUGUUGAAAGGGAAACGCUUGAAGUCAGUCGCGUCUUCUGGGACUCAGCCUUGCUCUGCUCGGCGCACUUCCCAGUUUGACGGGUCAGCAUCGGCUCUGGGGGGCGGACAAAGGCGCGGGGAAGGUGGCAGCUCCGGCUGCGUUAUAGCCCCGCGUUACGCGUCCCCCGGGACCGAGGAAUCCGGCGCUCGCGCCCGGGAUGCUGGCGUAAUGGCUUUAAACGACCCGUCUUGAA
This 597-nucleotide ribosomal RNA is filed under the name Subulicystidium inornatum. Its description in RNAcentral is "LSU rRNA". It matches the Rfam family "Eukaryotic large subunit ribosomal RNA", at positions 47 to 658 of the family's 3401-position model. The record is from RNAcentral. Lineage: Eukaryota; Fungi; Basidiomycota; Agaricomycetes; Trechisporales; Hydnodontaceae.